Molecule: ribosomal RNA, 331 nt
Filed under: uncultured bacterium
Lineage: Bacteria
Description: bacterial SSU rRNA
Rfam family: Bacterial small subunit ribosomal RNA
Source: RNAcentral
CGCGUAGGUGGAUUGAUCAGUCGUAUGUGAAAGGCCCGGGCUUAACCCGGGAACUGCAUGUGAUACUGUUGGUCUAGAGUAGAGUAGAGGGAAGUGGAAUUUCCGGUGUAGCGGUGAAAUGCGUAGAUAUCGGAAGGAACAUCGGUGGCGAAGGCGGCUUCCUGGACUCAUACUGACGCUGAAGCGCGAAAGCGUGGGGAGCAAACAGGAUUAGAUACCCUGGUAGUCCACGCUGUAAGCGAUGAGAACUAGAUGUUGGAGGGAUAAAACUCUUUAGUAUCGAAGCUAACGCGUUAAGUUCUCCGCCUGGGAGUACGGCCGCAAGGUUAAA